This 516-nucleotide ribosomal RNA is filed under the name uncultured bacterium. RNAcentral describes it as "bacterial SSU rRNA". It matches the Rfam family "Bacterial small subunit ribosomal RNA", at positions 791 to 1304 of the family's 1533-position model. The record is from RNAcentral.
UAGUCCACGCCGUAAACGAUGGAUACUAGUUGUUGGGGGCCAUGAGUCUUCGGUGACGUAGCUAACGCGUUAAGUAUCCCGCCUGGGGAGUACGGUCGCAAGAUUAAAACUCAAAGGAAUUGACGGGGACCCGCACAAGCGGUGGAGCAUGUGGUUUAAUUCGAGGCAACGCGAAGAACCUUACCAGUCCUUGACAUACCUAUCGCGGGGGACUUAACAGUCCCCCUUCAGCUCGGCUGGAUAGUGUACAGGUGCUGCAUGGCUGUCGUCAGCUCGUGUCGUGAGAUGUUGGGUUAAGUCCCGCAACGAGCGCAACCCUCGCUUUUAGUUGCCAGCAAGUUAUGUUGGGCACUCUAAAAGAACUGCCAGUGUUAAACUGGAGGAAGGUGGGGAUGACGUCAAGUCUUCAUGGCCCUUAUGGGCUGGGCUACACACGUGCUACAAUGAUAAAACAGUAAGUUGCAACCUCGCAAGGGGAAGCUAAUCUUCAAAUUUUGUCCCAGUUCGGAUUGUUCU